CAGACCGUAGCUUAACUAGCAUAGCAUCUCCCUUACACCGAGAAGAUGUCCGUGCAAAUCGGACCGGACUGA
This 72-nucleotide transfer RNA is filed under the name Eleotris acanthopomus (sleeper goby). RNAcentral describes it as "Eleotris acanthopoma (sleeper goby) tRNA-Val". It matches the Rfam family "tRNA". From Rfam's summary of the family: Transfer RNA (tRNA) molecules are approximately 80 nucleotides in length. Their secondary structure includes four short double-helical elements and three loops (D, anti-codon, and T loops). Lineage: Eukaryota; Metazoa; Chordata; Actinopteri; Gobiiformes; Eleotridae. The record is from RNAcentral.